GAGCAAUGAUAUUAACUUGCACAAUAUGUGAACGAUUGGGUCGUCACACACAUCUGAUUCAGGAUGAAAUGUCGUGCAUCUGAGCUC
Small nucleolar RNA from Solanum verrucosum, 87 nucleotides. RefSeq annotates it as small nucleolar RNA snoR114. The transcript has a single exon. Lineage: Eukaryota; Viridiplantae; Streptophyta; Magnoliopsida; Solanales; Solanaceae. The record is from RefSeq and is a predicted model, not a curated record.